Molecule: unclassified non-coding RNA, 255 nt
Filed under: uncultured Dothideomycetes
Lineage: Eukaryota; Fungi; Ascomycota; Dothideomycetes
Description: sequence contains 5.8S rRNA gene, ITS2, 28S rRNA gene
Rfam family: 5.8S ribosomal RNA (bases 1-52)
Source: RNAcentral
AACGCACAUUGCGCCCCUUGGUAUUCCGAGGGGCAUGCCUGUUCGAGCGUCAUUACAACCCUCAAGCUACGCUUGGUGUUGGGCCUUCGCCUCCCCCUGCGGGGGAAGGCGGGCCUCGAAGGCUUCGGCGGCGUCGCUCCGCUCCGAGCGUGACGGACUCACGGCUUGCUGGAGCGGGCGCGCCCGCCCUUUGCGUUCUCGCAUCUUUAUUUCAAGGUUGACCUCGGAUCAGGCGGGGAUACCCGCUGAACUUAA